This 849-nucleotide ribosomal RNA is filed under the name Pseudomonas sp. FBF143. Its description in RNAcentral is "bacterial SSU rRNA". It matches the Rfam family "Bacterial small subunit ribosomal RNA", at positions 57 to 901 of the family's 1533-position model. The record is from RNAcentral. Lineage: Bacteria; Pseudomonadati; Pseudomonadota; Gammaproteobacteria; Pseudomonadales; Pseudomonadaceae.
GCAAGUCGAGCGGUAGAGAGAAGCUUGCUUCUCUUGAGAGCGGCGGACGGGUGAGUAAUGCCUAGGAAUCUGCCUGGUAGUGGGGGAUAACGUUCGGAAACGGACGCUAAUACCGCAUACGUCCUACGGGAGAAAGCAGGGGACCUUCGGGCCUUGCGCUAUCAGAUGAGCCUAGGUCGGAUUAGCUAGUUGGUGAGGUAAUGGCUCACCAAGGCGACGAUCCGUAACUGGUCUGAGAGGAUGAUCAGUCACACUGGAACUGAGACACGGUCCAGACUCCUACGGGAGGCAGCAGUGGGGAAUAUUGGACAAUGGGCGAAAGCCUGAUCCAGCCAUGCCGCGUGUGUGAAGAAGGUCUUCGGAUUGUAAAGCACUUUAAGUUGGGAGGAAGGGUUGUAGAUUAAUACUCUGCAAUUUUGACGUUACCGACAGAAUAAGCACCGGCUAACUCUGUGCCAGCAGCCGCGGUAAUACAGAGGGUGCAAGCGUUAAUCGGAAUUACUGGGCGUAAAGCGCGCGUAGGUGGUUUGUUAAGUUGGAUGUGAAAUCCCCGGGCUCAACCUGGGAACUGCAUUCAAAACUGACUGACUAGAGUAUGGUAGAGGGUGGUGGAAUUUCCUGUGUAGCGGUGAAAUGCGUAGAUAUAGGAAGGAACACCAGUGGCGAAGGCGACCACCUGGACUAAUACUGACACUGAGGUGCGAAAGCGUGGGGAGCAAACAGGAUUAGAUACCCUGGUAGUCCACGCCGUAAACGAUGUCAACUAGCCGUUGGAAGCCUUGAGCUUUUAGUGGCGCAGCUAACGCAUUAAGUUGACCGCCUGGGGAGUACGGCCGCAAGGUUAAAACU